UACGUAGGGUGCGAGCGUUGUCCGGAAUUAUUGGGCGUAAAGAGCUUGUAGGCGGUUUGUCGCGUCUGCUGUGAAAAUCCGGGGCUCAACCCCGGACUUGCAGUGGGUACGGGCAGACUAGAGUGUGGUAGGGGAGACUGGAAUUCCUGGUGUAGCGGUGGAAUGCGCAGAUAUCAGGAGGAACACCGAUGGCGAAGGCAGGUCUCUGGGCCACUACUGACGUGAGAAGCGAAAGCAUGGGGAGCGAACAGG
Molecule: ribosomal RNA, 252 nt
Filed under: uncultured bacterium
Lineage: Bacteria
Description: partial 16S ribosomal RNA
Rfam family: Bacterial small subunit ribosomal RNA
Source: RNAcentral